UGUAUCUGAAAUCAAGCAGGAUAACCCGCUGAACUUAAGCAUAUCAAUAAGCGGAGGAGAAGAAAUCAACAGAGAUUGCCUCAGUAACGGCGAGUGAACCGCGCAUAGCCCAACUUGAAAAUCUCCCUUUGGAGAAUUGUAGUCUAUAGAAGCGCCCUCUGUGGCGGUCGGAGCUCAAGUCCUCUGGAAAGGGGCGUCAGAGAGGGUGAGAACCCCGUCGGCUCUCGGCUUAGCUGCUCCACGAGGUGCUUUCCACGAGUCGGGUUGUUUGAGAAUGCAGCCCAAAAUGGGAGGUAAAUCCCUUCUAAGGCUAAAUACUGGCGAGAGACCGAUAGCGAACAAGUACCGUGAGGGAAAGAUGAAAAGAACUUUGAAAAGAGAGUUAAAAAGUGCUUGAAAUUGUUGAGAGGGAAGCGAUUGGAGGCUGCGGGUGCGCCCAGGCUCAUGCGUCUCUAACGAGCCCGCUGUAUGUGCUGGGUGCUGGUCARCAUGGGUUAGGCCGGCGGGAUAAAAGCAGGGGUUUGAUACCCUUGUCUAUGCCGCCGGCUUGACCAAGGCGUGAAUGGCGCUCAGACCUUCGGGAUCUGCGUCAUCAAGAUGCUGGCAGAAGGCUUUCAAUCGGGCCCGUCUUGAAACACGGACCAAGGAGUCUAACAUGUAUGCGAGUUGGUGGGUGGAAAACCCAUGAAGCGCAAGUAACCUGACUGGUGGGAUGGCCUGUGCCUGCACCAUCGACCGACCAUGAGCUUCUGCGAAAGGUUUGAGUGCGAGCAUACCUGUUGGGACCCGAAAGAUGGUGAACUAUCCUGAGUAGGGUGAAGCCAGGGGAAACUCUGGUGGAGGCUCGUAGCGGUUCUGACGUGCAAAUCGAUCGUCAAACUUGGGUAUAGGGGCGAAAGACUAAUCGAACCAUCUAGUAGCUGGUUCCCUCCGAAGUUUCCCUCAGGAUAGCUGGGACAAAUACGCAGUUUUAUUAGGUAAAGCGAAUGAUUAGAGGCAUCGGGGGCGCAAUGCCCUCGACCUAUUCUCAAACUCUAAAUUGAUAAGAACUCUGGCCUUUCUUAAGUGGGGCAUGGAGGUUCAAUGCGUGUCCCAAGUGGGCCAUUUUUGGUAAGCAGAACUGGCGAUGAGGGAUGCUCCUAACGUUGAGUUAAGGUGCCCAACUGCACGCUCAUCAGAAACUACAAAGGGUGUUGGUUCAUACAGACAGCAGGACGGUGGCCAUGGAAGUCGGAACCCGCUAAGGAGUGUGUAACAACUCACCUGCCGAAUGAACUAGCCCCGAAAAUGGAUGGCGCUCAAGCCGUGCGACCGAUACUCGACCAUUGUAGCGAGAGUGAGGCU
Molecule: ribosomal RNA, 1344 nt
Filed under: Uroleptus pisces
Lineage: Eukaryota; Ciliophora; Spirotrichea; Urostylida; Urostylidae
Description: eukaryotic LSU rRNA
Rfam family: Eukaryotic large subunit ribosomal RNA
Source: RNAcentral